RNAcentral lists this ribosomal RNA (433 nucleotides) under uncultured bacterium. RNAcentral describes it as "partial 16S ribosomal RNA". It matches the Rfam family "Bacterial small subunit ribosomal RNA", at positions 29 to 507 of the family's 1533-position model. The record is from RNAcentral.
AACGAACGCUGGCGGCAUGCCUAACACAUGCAAGUCGAACGAGACCUUCGGGUCUAGUGGCGCACGGGUGCGUAACGCGUGGGAACCUGCCCUUAGGUUCGGAAUAACUCCCCGAAAGGGGUGCUAAUACCGGAUAAUGUCUUCGGACCAAAGAUUUAUCGCCUUUGGAUGGGCCCGCGUUGGAUUAGCUAGUUGGUAGGGUAAAAGCCUACCAAGGCGACGAUCCAUAGCUGGUCUGAGAGGAUGAUCAGCCACACUGGGACUGAGACACGGCCCAGACUCCUACGGGAAGCGGCAGUGGGGAAUAUUGGACAAUGGGCGAAAGCCUGAUCCAGCAAUGCCGCGUGAGUGAUGAAGGCCUUAGGGUUGUAAAGCUCUUUUACCCGGGAUGAUAAUGACAGUACCGGGAGAAUAAGCUCCGGCUAACUCCGUG